AGGAGCCCUUCGAUCUGGAGCAGAUGACUUCAGAGACCACAGGGCAGCUGGUCCGCAAGGCCAGGCAGUAGAGAAGGAGCCAGCAGGGGAGAGGUUCAUGCACAGCAUCAGAUGUGUCUGACUUCUAAGGAAAAUGAGACUCCAGACACAUUGAUGGGGCAUCAACAAGACUCUGGAUAGGAAAUGAGUGAGCUGCCAACUACUGAGCUGCUGCGCCGGGGACCAC
Long non-coding RNA from Erinaceus europaeus (western European hedgehog), 226 nucleotides. RefSeq lists it as uncharacterized. The record is from RefSeq and is a predicted model, not a curated record. The transcript is spliced from 3 exons. Lineage: Eukaryota; Metazoa; Chordata; Mammalia; Eulipotyphla; Erinaceidae.